UCCUUAUAAGAGCAGUCCGAUUGAAGAAGACGACUCAGAGAAAGUAUGGACUGCUGUCCAAUCAAGAGGACAACAUGGAGAUGGCGCAUCUUGAGAGCGACGAGGAAGACAUGACUGUUUACGAAGCGAAGGCACUGAGAAGAUGAGUCCUGGGUAUCUGGCCAAUAGAGCAGCGACGACUGGAAAAGAAUGGAAGCGGGGGCUUUCUUCAAGCUUAUUUUUUCACCACUAGAAUUUAGUUUUUAUUUUUCUCCAUAUCCACGAGAGGCAAUAGACUGGAUAUUCAAAUGAUUUUUCUGUAACCUUUUUAACAUAAGCAUAUGAAUUGUUAAAAGAUAGGUAUGCAUUGGUUUGUGGUGAGCAAAUGAGCAAGUCUUCUUGGUUUUUAUUUAAUCAUCUUUGGCAGAUGUGUUGGAGGUUAUAGAGUGCAGUAAGUGAACGGAAUCUGUCAGGCACCCUUUAGUGCUGAAACUGCCUGUGCAGUGUCCUGUCACUCCAAAGUUCUGUGGACAUCGUGCCCAUCAGACCCCCACAAACAGUCUGGUUUUCUAUUUUUGGCAUUGUCACAAGGCACAGACUUAUGGGGGGGGGGUUUCUUUUUAUUUAUAUCAUUAAAUAUCUUGUGUCUUUAUUCAUGUUACAUCAAUUCACCACCUAUUGUGACCUUUUUAGUCACAGGUUUAAAAAAAAAUGGUGGCCUUCAAGAUUUUUCAUGAUCUUUUUUUUUUUUUUUUGCUUUUUUUUAACGUUUACGCUUAUCUCUGUACUGAAUAUUAGUUCUCGGUGGUCAAACUUCACUGUGAACAUCUUGCGUUCAGACUGGGCAGAUUAGACCAGCGUGAUCGAUUGCCUGAGGGGAGUUUCUCACUGAGAUCCUUCCAAUGUGCCAAUACAUCGCGAGCCAGCCGUCCUCGCCUGACUGGCUCAUCCAGUGGGACUGUCAUCCACUGUUUAAUAGCCCUAGCCGCGCGAUCUGGUUAUAACCACAACAGAAGAGAGUUGCUCACAGAAGCCUUCAUUCUAAAAUCCAUAGACAAUCUCAGGGGUGAUAAAGAGCCCGAUCCUAGAGCUCCAUUAUCUUCAAAUUGAUGAAUUAUUAACCAUUAUCUCCAAAGCUGGAUUCUUUUAGAGGUCAUAUUGCUCAUCAUUGAGAUAAGGAUGUUGGCAGAGGACAGGUUUGAUUGGAGAUUUCCUCCCUCUGUUCUGGCUGCAGUCCUUCCAACGUGAUGUUUUCCAACUAACAUGGACAAUGUUGUACCGAGAUGUGCAUUUAUUUAACAUUGGAACGUGGCUAUACAGUGAUGAUCCUCCUUGCACUUCAUUGGACUUUAUUCUUGACUUCAUAUUUUGUGGCGUAAUUCCAGUGCUGUAAGUUUAUUGGGCUGAGGAUUCUGUUCUCAGAGAGGCAGACUAACUGUUGGCUUGGAUUCCCUUAAUGCGUUUUGGUUCUUUUAAUGUAAGCACUUGUCACUCACAAUUGUGUACCAUAGAUGGUGUUCAACCUUUGUUUUGUCAAAUGUUUAAUUCAGCACUGGAAAGUGUUGGUCAUGUCACUUCAGCAGUGAUUUUUGCAGAAACAUCUCUAAAUUGUUGUUUGUGAUUUCUUCAUGUUGGAUUUAAUUUUCAUUCGCGUGUGCCAACCAUCCACAAACAUGCAGGCCUGCUCAAGAUCAGAAUUUAAGCAGAUCCUGCAGACUCAGACAGACUGUAUUCAGAAAGCCAAAGAAUUAAUAUGGAAGAUUGCAUGUUUGAAAAUGUGUAAGUUAAAAAGGUAAUGUUCUCUGCUUGUUUAUUGUAAUGUUUCAUGUAAUAAUCUCUGUAUGCUGCAAAAGCAUAUGCACUGUUGUAAAUCCCUUUGACCGCAGCACUCCUGCUCCACAGGCAGGUAUACGAAACGAAGGAGGGAAAUAAGGUGAUUUGACUCAAGGCUUUACACUGUUAAACAUUUGCUUAAUUGUAAUUAAUUUUGUGCUCUUUCUCAGGGGGUUACCUGUAAUUGCGAGUAAGUGCGAUUUUUCCUGUGGUGGUGUUAAUCGAAUGAGAUGAGCGGCCAAGCGAGACAUGGCUUCUGCUGUAGGAAUGGACCGUUGGGUUAUUGAGCCAGAACCCACUGAGAAAUCUCACAUCUGCUCUGCGCAGACUGUGGAUUUCAGGGUAUCGAACACGGAGCUGACGUUUGGUUUUUGUGUCUUGCGGCCCUGACAUUCCAUUACCUUUGUAAAGGACAGCAGAAUUAUCAGUCAAAGCAUCUCAGAAAAUUUGGCUCUGAGUGUGUCACUCCAUUUUGCAAAUUGUGAGGGUUCUGUGGCUUUUGGGGGCCUAUCUCAUCCACAAAAAUGAUUUUGUUCAUUUUUGGUUUAAGUCAUUAAUAAUCUUUUUAUGAAGCCACAAACACUUUGGUUUGUCAGCGCUGAUAUUAAAUUUAAAAAAAGGAAAAAA
RNA transcript from Anguilla rostrata (American eel), 2439 nucleotides. It is a transcript of the gene named family with sequence similarity 174 member C, with no coding region annotated. Lineage: Eukaryota; Metazoa; Chordata; Actinopteri; Anguilliformes; Anguillidae. The record is from RefSeq and is a predicted model, not a curated record. The transcript has 3 exons.